Molecule: ribosomal RNA, 820 nt
Filed under: Diaporthe sp.
Lineage: Eukaryota; Fungi; Ascomycota; Sordariomycetes; Diaporthales; Diaporthaceae
Description: partial large subunit ribosomal RNA
Rfam family: Eukaryotic large subunit ribosomal RNA
Source: RNAcentral
GGGAUUGCCUUAGUAACGGCGAGUGAAGCGGCAACAGCUCAAAUUUGAAAGCUGGCCCUUUUAGGGUCCGCGUUGUAAUUUGUAGAGGAUGAUUCGGCGAGGGCUCCUGCCUAAGUCCCCUGGAACGGGGCGUCAUAGAGGGUGAGAAUCCCGUAUGCGGUAGGUUGCCUUAGCCAUGUGAAUCUCCUUCGACGAGUCGAGUUGUUUGGGAAUGCAGCUCUAAAUGGGAGGUAAAUUUCUUCUAAAGCUAAAUACUGGCCAGAGACCGAUAGCGCACAAGUAGAGUGAUCGAAAGAUGAAAAGCACUUUGGAAAGAGAGUUAAAAAGUACGUGAAAUUGUUGAAAGGGAAGCGCUUGCAACCAGACUUGUCCGCAGUUGCUCAGCCGGUCUCCUGACCGGCGUACUCUUCUGCGGCCAGGCCAGCAUCAGUUCGGGCGGUCGGAUAAAGGCCUCGGGAAUGUAGCUCCUCUCGGGGAGUGUUAUAGCCCGGGGUGGAAUGCGACCAGCCUGGACUGAGGAUCUCGCUUCGGCAAGGAUGCUGGCGUAAUGGUUGUAAGCGGCCCGUCUUGAAACACGGACCAAGGAGUCUAACAUCUAUGCGAGUGUUCGGGUGUCAAACCCGUACGCGUAAUGAAAGUGAACGGAGGUGGGAACCCGCAAGGGUGCACCAUCGGCCGAUCCUGAUGUCUUCGGAUGGAUUUGAGCAAGAGCAUAGCUGUUGGGACCCGAAAGAUGGUGAACUAUGCCUGAAUAGGGUGAAGCCAGAGGAAACUCUGGUGGAGGCUCGCAGCGGGUUCUGACGUGCAAAUCGAUCGUCAA